Molecule: ribosomal RNA, 258 nt
Filed under: uncultured Leptotrichia sp.
Lineage: Bacteria; Fusobacteriati; Fusobacteriota; Fusobacteriia; Fusobacteriales; Leptotrichiaceae
Description: partial 16S ribosomal RNA
Rfam family: Bacterial small subunit ribosomal RNA
Source: RNAcentral
GGCGGACGGGUGAGUAACGCGUAAAGAACUUGCCCUUUAGACUGGGAUAACAGAGGGAAACUUCUGAUAAUACUGGAUAAGUUAGUAUAUCGCAUGAUAUACAAAUGAAAGCUACGGCACUAAAGGAGAGCUUUGCGUCCUAUUAGCUAGUUGGUAAGGUAAGAGCUUACCAAGGCGAUGAUAGGUAGCCGGCCUGAGAGGGUGGACGGCCACAAGGGGACUGAGAUACGGCCCUUACUCCUACGGGAGGCAGCAGUA